GUAUAAUUGUGCAUUUGGUGGAAAUGGUUGUAACGACAGAAGACCACUGGAACUCGCAUGGCUGCCGUUUUUGUGACCCCAAGAUCCAAGAACCAGGAAGACGAUGAGCAGGGACGGAUACUCACUCAUCCGCACGGACCAGACGUUGGGCAGCCUGGGACGGAGUUAGCUCACUUGGUCACGUUAUUGAGGUCCUGUCUCUGAUCGUGCUGCCUCCACCCCAGCAGACGAUGGCAUGGAACACUCCAGGGGCCACCACAGUGUAUAUGGGUGUUAAGAUGGUGUUUUUGUUUAUUUGUCCAUGCGUGGUGUAAUCUAAUGUGUGCAAUAUGUUAUAUUUGUUACUUAUUACUCAUUUUUAGUUUUUCAUUGCAUUUUUCUUUCAGUUCCUGCAUGUAACAAUGGCGCCGCCCACGUGGCAGCUGGUUGCAACAGCUCUGUGCUCUUUUAUAUCCUUCUUUGUGUUCUUUAAUGUUUUCUCGCUUGUUUUCAUGUCACUUUUUGGUUUAAACGCCUUUGGAACUGCACAACCUGGGGUGGCACUUUUGUGACAUUUGCGCUACUUUUAAUACUUUUUUGUGGACUUUUUGAAUCUGCACUGUGACCACAUAAUUUCCCCAUUAUGGGAUAUAUAAAGUCUAGCCCAGUGGUUCUUAACCUUGUUGGAGGUGCCGAACCCCACCACUUUCUUACGCGCAUUCCCCGAACCCUUCUUCAGUGAAAUAUAAUUUAAUUUUUUUUCAAAUUCAAGACAAAGUUAUAUGUUUUUUUACUGGUGCACAAUAUGAACCGUGCAUUAACAUCACCUUGUUCAAAGAACAAAACCAACACAGUGCAUGAACUCACAACAAAUUACACACCUACAAAUCAGAUUGAAAAUUAGAGGGAACAUUGUUUGGGGGUAUCCAUUAUACGCCGAUAGGGAGAAGUUUUUAUUUACAC
This is a long non-coding RNA of Nerophis lumbriciformis (worm pipefish), 942 nucleotides long. RefSeq lists it as uncharacterized. The record is from RefSeq and is a predicted model, not a curated record. NCBI's taxonomy places the organism in Eukaryota, Metazoa, Chordata, Actinopteri, Syngnathiformes, Syngnathidae.